AAUGAACGCUGGCGGCAGGCCUAACACAUGCAAGUCGAACGGAUCCUUCGGGACUAGUGGCGGACGGGUGAGUAACGCGUGGGAACAUACCCUUUGGUACGGAAUAGCCUCGGGAAACUGGGAGUAAUACCGUAUGUGGUCGAGAGACGAAAGAUUUAUCGCCAAAGGAUUGGCCCGCGUUGGAUUAGGUAGUUGGUGGGGUAAUGACCUACCAAGCCGACGAUCCAUAGCUGGUUUGAGAGGAUGAUCAGCCACACUGGGACUAAGACACGGCCCAGACUCCUACGGGAGGCAGCAGUGGGGAAUCUUAGACAAUGGGGGAAACCCUGAUCUAGCCAUGCCGCGUGAUCGAUGAAGGCCUUAGGGUUGUAAAGAUCUUUCAGGUGGGAAGAUAAUGACUGUACCACCAGAAGAAGCCCCGGCUAACUCCGUGCCAGCCGCCGCAGUAA
This 449-nucleotide ribosomal RNA is filed under the name uncultured bacterium. RNAcentral describes it as "partial 16S ribosomal RNA". It matches the Rfam family "Bacterial small subunit ribosomal RNA", at positions 29 to 523 of the family's 1533-position model. The record is from RNAcentral.